This 564-nucleotide ribosomal RNA is filed under the name uncultured Candidatus Korobacter sp. RNAcentral's name for it is "bacterial SSU rRNA". It matches the Rfam family "Bacterial small subunit ribosomal RNA", at positions 335 to 915 of the family's 1533-position model. The record is from RNAcentral. Lineage: Bacteria; Pseudomonadati; Acidobacteriota; Terriglobia; Terriglobales; Candidatus Korobacteraceae.
ACUCCUACGGGAGGCAGCAGUGGGGAAUCUUGCGCAAUGGGCGAAAGCCUGACGCAGCCAUGCCGCGUGAAUGAUGAAGGUCUUAGGAUUGUAAACUCCUUUCGACCGGGACGAUAAUGACGGUACCGGAAGAAGAAGCACCGGCUAACUCUGUGCCAGCAGCCGCGGUAAUACAGAGGGUGCAAGCGUUGUUCGGAAUUACUGGGCGUAAAGGGCGCGUAGGCGGCUUGCCAAGUCAGGCGUGAAAUUCCCGGGCUCAACCUGGGGGCUGCGCUUGAUACUGGCUGGCUUGAAUGCGGGAGAGGAUGGUGGAAUUCCCAGUGUAGAGGUGAAAUUCGUAGAUAUUGGGAAGAACACCGGUGGCGAAGGCGGCCAUCUGGCCCGUGAUUGACGCUGAGGCGCGAAAGCUAGGGGAGCAAACAGGAUUAGAUACCCUGGUAGUCCUAGCCCUAAACGAUGAUUGCUUGGUGUAGCAGGUACCCAAUCCUGCUGUGCCGCAGCUAACGCGUUAAGCAAUCCGCCUGGGGAGUACGGUCGCAAGGCUGAAACUUAAAGGAAUUGACG